UGGGGAAUUUUGGACAAUGGGCGAAAGCCUGAUCCAGCAAUGCCGCGUGUGUGAAGAAGGCCUUCGGGUUGUAAAGCACUUUUGUCCGGAAAGAAAUCCUUGGCUCUAAUACAGUCGGGGGAUGACGGUACCGGAAGAAUAAGCACCGGCUAACUACGUGCCAGCAGCCGCGGUAAUACGUAGGGUGCAAGCGUUAAUCGGAAUUACUGGGCGUAAAGCGUGCGCAGGCGGUUUGCUAAGACCGAUGUGAAAUCCCCGGGCUCAACCUGGGGAACUGCAUUGGUGACUGGCAGGCUAGAGUAUGGCAGAGGGGGGUAGAAUUCCACGUGUAGCAGUGAAAUGCGUAGAGAUGUGGAGGAAUACCGAUGGCGAAGGCAGCCCCCUGGGCCAAUACUGACGCUCAUGCACGAAAGCGUGGGGAGCAAACAGGAUUAGAUACCCUGGUAGUCCACGCCCUAAAACGAUGUCAACUAGUUGUUGGGGAUUCAUUUCCUUAGUAACGUAGCUAACGCGUGAAGUUGACCGCCUGGGGAGUACGGUCGCAAGAUUAAAACUUAAAGGAAUUGACGGGGU
Molecule: ribosomal RNA, 573 nt
Filed under: uncultured bacterium
Lineage: Bacteria
Description: partial 16S ribosomal RNA
Rfam family: Bacterial small subunit ribosomal RNA
Source: RNAcentral